RNAcentral lists this ribosomal RNA (251 nucleotides) under uncultured bacterium. RNAcentral's name for it is "partial 16S ribosomal RNA". It matches the Rfam family "Bacterial small subunit ribosomal RNA", at positions 524 to 774 of the family's 1533-position model. The record is from RNAcentral.
UACGUAGGGGGCGAGCGUUAUCCGGAUUUACUGGGUGUAAAGGGAGCGUAGACGGCAGAGCAAGUCUGAAGUGAAAGCCCGGGGCUUAACCCCGGAACGGCUUUGGAAACUGUUAAGCUAGAGUGCUGGAGAGGUAAGCGGAAUUCCUAGUGUAGCGGUGAAAUGCGUAGAUAUUAGGAGGAACACCAGUGGCGAAGGCGGCUUACUGGACAGUGACUGACGUUGAGGCUCGAAAGCGUGGGGAGCAAACA